This 497-nucleotide ribosomal RNA is filed under the name uncultured bacterium. RNAcentral describes it as "partial 16S ribosomal RNA". It matches the Rfam family "Bacterial small subunit ribosomal RNA", at positions 28 to 507 of the family's 1533-position model. The record is from RNAcentral.
GAUGAACGCUGGCGGCGUGCCUAAUACAUGCAAGUCGAGCGAACAGACGAGGAGCUUGCUCCUCUGACGUUAGCGGCGGACGGGUGAGUAACACGUGGAUAACCUACCUAUAAGACUGGGAUAACUUCGGGAAACCGGAGCUAAUACCGGAUAAUAUAUUGAACCGCAUGGUUCAAUAGUGAAAGACGGUUUUGCUGUCACUUAUAGAUGUAUCCGCGCCGCAUUAGCUAGUUGGUAAGGUAACGGCUUACCAAGGCAACGAUGCGUAGCCGACCUGAGAGGGUGAUCGGCCACACUGGAACUGAGACACGGUCCAGACUCCUACGGGAGGCAGCAGUAGGGAAUCUUCCGCAAUGGGCGAAAGCCUGACGGAGCAACGCCGCGUGAGUGAAGAAGGUCUUCGGAUCGUAAAACUCUGUUAUUAGGGAAGAACAAAUGUGUAAGUAACUAUGCACGUCUUGACGGUACCUAAUCAGAAAGCCACGGCUAACUACGUG